Molecule: ribosomal RNA, 207 nt
Filed under: uncultured bacterium
Lineage: Bacteria
Description: partial 16S ribosomal RNA
Rfam family: Bacterial small subunit ribosomal RNA
Source: RNAcentral
CGCGUAGGUGGUUUGGUAAGAUGGAUGUGAAGUCCCCGGGCUCAACCUGGGAACUGCAUCCAUAACUGCCUGACUAGAGUACGGUAGAGGGUGGUGGAAUUUCCUGUGUAGCGGUGAAAUGCGUAGAUAUAGGAAGGAACACCAGUGGCGAAGGCGACCACCUGGACUGAUACUGACACUGAGGUGCGAAAGCGUGGGGAGCAAACA